AUGGCAAGCUACCACCGGGUCCACCCGGUGAUCGUCGACGGCGCGCCGCCCCCGGUGCCAGAGCAAAACAAGGAUAAGCUGCCACGGCCACCCAGCGCCGACUAUGGCGACCGGCUGCCGAUCACCGCCCCGGCACCUGGCGCGGCGGCCCCGCUGCGCGCGCCGCGGCGGAAGCGGCACAACAGGUGCUGCCGGUGCGUGUGCUGCACGCUGCUGGUGCUGAUCGUGCUCAUCGUCGCGCUCGGCGCCACGGCGGGGAUCCUCUACGCCGUGUUCCGGCCCAAGAUCCCCACGUUCCGCGUGGAGCGCCUCACGGCCACCCGGUUCGACGUGAACACCACCUCCAUGACGGUGUCCGACGCGUUCGAGGUGCAGGUGGUCGCCGAGAACCCGAACCGGCGCAUCGGGGUGUACUACGACGGCGGCUGGGUCGCCGCCUCGUUCAACGGCACGGAGCUGUGCCGCGGUGCGUUCCCGGCGCUCUACCAGGGCCACCGCAGCACGGUGCGGCCGCUGAUCACGCUCCAGGGGGAGACGAGGCUCGACAGCGCCGUGGCCGCGCAGCUGGCGCAGCAGCGGCAGGCCGGGUUCGUGCCGCUCACGGUCACCGCGCGCGUGCCGAUCCGGAUCAAGUUUGGCGCCCUCAAGCUGUGGAAGAUGACGGGGAAGGCCACGUGUAGCCUGGUGGUGGACAGCCUCGAGGCCGGGACGCGGCUCCGCAUCCGCUCCAACAGCUGCACCUUCAAGCUCAAGCCUAAUUAG
Molecule: ribosomal RNA, 762 nt
Filed under: Triticum aestivum (bread wheat)
Lineage: Eukaryota; Viridiplantae; Streptophyta; Magnoliopsida; Poales; Poaceae
Description: partial small subunit ribosomal RNA
Source: RNAcentral